GCUUAUUUUUGAGUUUCGUCUGUU
RNAcentral lists this small nuclear RNA (24 nucleotides) under Arabidopsis thaliana (thale cress). RNAcentral describes it as "snRNA_17484". The record is from RNAcentral. Lineage: Eukaryota; Viridiplantae; Streptophyta; Magnoliopsida; Brassicales; Brassicaceae.